GAGUAGCUCAGCUCAUGGGAGCUGCGUGUGUCUCGCCUCCCAGGCUGAGAUGGAUUAGCUAUUUCAAGCCUUUUCCUCAGCCCCACCUUUUGACCUCUCUCCUUGGUAGAGCUCAUCUGUCAGGCGAAAUGAUGAAACUCAAGCCUGAGAAUUCCUGCCAGGCAGAGCCGCUCCUCCCUCGGUCAACAUCCCAGCCUACACUUUACCCAGCGGCCAUUGUCCACGUUGGUUGCGGUUGGCUGUAACUCAGAAGUCUCCCAUGCUCAAGCCAAGCUCUUUCCCUCAUAUGGACCACGUGGACCUUCUUACUUGGAUCUGAGUAUGAAGCUUUACUUAGAUUUAUCUUUUUCACAUCUGCUCUCUCCAUGUUGCUUGACCUGACUCCUUCGGCUGUCGGUGUGGUUUUGAAUCAUUUUUCAACCUACUAGCUUUUCUCUCAGCCCCAUGACUGCCUAGAAAUGUGAUCCCCAUGCUUUCAACAUGGGACAAAAAUGGCUUGGAAGGGGGGGGUGACCAACCCACAACUGAGGAAGACCACAGAUGAAUGCUAACACAGUGGUAGGCACUGGUCUUGCAUUGUCAACAGUCCUACUGAUAUAAAACACACUUCCCUUACAUCCAUUUUAAUCGAAACCUUUCUGAAACCAAUGCCAAAGGGAGGCAGAAGCCAUCCCACAGGAAGGAGCUAACCAUGCUGAGGAAGAAAUAGUGAUGGGAAUCCAACACACCCAUGGCUUAAUAUUGUGACAUCGUCGUCUCUGCAUUCUGAGCAUCCUGCAACAAAGGCUUGUCGGGUUAUGUGCAACAAAAUACAAGUUGAAAGGACUCUUGAGGAUUUAAGAGCUUUGCUCUGAAGAAAACUGCAUUUGGACGGAAUACAGGCAUUCAUUUGAUCGCAAUAGAACAUUCUUAGAAUUUAGAAAGCAGAGCAUGUAAUGAGAGUUGCAUAUCAGACACUGGGCACCACUGGAGCAGAAAUGAGAACAAACUGAGAACCCAGGACAAGAAACACUGAAGUCAAGAGAGCACAGAUGGAAACCUCUGAAAUCAUGAACCUGGAUGAACCCUCAUCCUUGCUGAGAAGAGACAAAAACAGAAGAUGGCAAAACUGCGGUUGCUGCCCUCGAGGUGCUAGGAGAAUCAAGACUUACGUUUCCAGUAUGUAAACUGUGACCAGACUCCCUGCAUGGAGGAUCCUGGACAAUUCCCCAAUGGAAUCUGACCAAUCACAUUGGGAAGUGUGAGCCCUAAGAGGUCCUGAGAUAAUCUAUAAACCUCCUCUCUGAGGAACGGCCAGCAUGAGAGUUGCUAUACUUGUGUGGAUAAUAGUCUAUGCCUAAGCUAGGCAUUGUCUAUGCCCAGAAAAGUGUUCUAAGCAAUAUCCGAUAAUCACUUUUAAGCCACUGGAAAAUCAUUGGUGCCAAUGACUGACAUUUCCAGAAUCUAGGAGUCGGUGCCAAGCAGAGCCAAGGGAAGUACCUAUGAGACACUCCUUCGUGCCUACAUCUGUGUUGUCUUACAGGUCUGACAGCUCAGCCUGGUAGAGCUCAGCCUGGCAGAGCAGGACAGAGGCAGUGUCUGAACAGACUCACAGAUGGCUCAUCCUUCCUCACUGUGCGACCCUAGGAGAGUUUACUCAUCUGUUCCCAUCCUUGGCUUCCUCCCCCUAAAACAGUGAGCCAAUGCCACCUUCCCCACAGGAUUACUAGAGCCUUAAAUAAAAAUUUUAAAUGUGCUGAA
Molecule: non-coding RNA, 1740 nt
Organism: Rattus norvegicus (Norway rat)
Lineage: Eukaryota; Metazoa; Chordata; Mammalia; Rodentia; Muridae
Source: RefSeq, a predicted model, not a curated record